This 424-nucleotide ribosomal RNA is filed under the name uncultured bacterium. RNAcentral's name for it is "bacterial SSU rRNA". It matches the Rfam family "Bacterial small subunit ribosomal RNA", at positions 508 to 930 of the family's 1533-position model. The record is from RNAcentral.
UCAGCCGCCGCGGUAAUACGUAGGUCGCAAGCGUUAUCCGGAAUUAUUGGGCGUAAAGAAUGCGUAGGUGGUUUGGAAAGUUGCUAGUUAAAUGCUCAAGCUCAACUUGAGACCUGCUAGCAAAACUUCCAAACUAGAGGAUAGCAGGGGCAAGCGGAAUUCCCGGUGUAGGAGUGAAAUCCGUUGAUAUCGGGAGGAACACCAAUGGCGAAGGCAGCUUGCUAGGUUAUCUCUGACACUGAGGCAUGAAAGCGUGGGGAGCGAACGGGAUUAGAUACCCCGGUAGUCCACGCCGUAAACGAUGCAUACUAGCUAUCAGAAGUAUCGACCCUUCUUGUAGCGAAGCUAACGCGUUAAGUAUGCCGCCUGGGAAGUACGGUCGCAAGACUAAAACUCAAAGGAAUUGACGGGGGCCCGCACAAGC